This 30-nucleotide non-coding RNA is filed under the name Mus musculus (house mouse). Lineage: Eukaryota; Metazoa; Chordata; Mammalia; Rodentia; Muridae. The record is from RNAcentral.
UUCAUCAUAUGUGCAACGUUCUGCAAAUUC